GCCUGGGUGGCUCAGUCGGCUAAGCAUCCAACUUUGGCUCAGAUCAUGAUCUCAUGGUUUGCGGGUUCGAGCCCCGCAUCAGGCU
This is a non-coding RNA of Felis catus (domestic cat), 85 nucleotides long. The record is from Rfam. NCBI's taxonomy places the organism in Eukaryota, Metazoa, Chordata, Mammalia, Carnivora, Felidae.